AUUGAACGCUGGCGGCAGGCCUAACACAUGCAAGUCGAACGAGUGGCGGACGGGUGAGUAAUGUCUGGGAAACUGCCCGAUGGAGGGGGAUAACUACUGGAAACGGUAGCUAAUACCGCAUACCAUCGGAUGUGCCCAGAUGGGUUUAGCUAGUAGGUGGGGUAACGGCUCACCUAGGCGACGAUCCCUAGCUGGUCUGAGAGGAUGACAAGCCACACUGUAACGGAGACACGGUCCAGACUCCUACGGGAGGCGACAGUGGGGAGUAGUGCACAAUGGGCGCGAGCCUGAUGCAGCCAUGCCGCGUGUAUGAAGAAGGCAUUCGGGUUGUAAAGUACUUUCAGCGGGGAGGCGUUACUCGCAGAAGAAGCACCGGCUAACUCCGUGCCAGCAGCCGCGGUAAUAC
This 406-nucleotide ribosomal RNA is filed under the name uncultured bacterium. Its description in RNAcentral is "partial 16S ribosomal RNA". It matches the Rfam family "Bacterial small subunit ribosomal RNA", at positions 30 to 526 of the family's 1533-position model. The record is from RNAcentral.